Molecule: ribosomal RNA, 253 nt
Filed under: uncultured bacterium
Lineage: Bacteria
Description: partial 16S ribosomal RNA
Rfam family: Bacterial small subunit ribosomal RNA
Source: RNAcentral
UACGUAGGGUGCAAGCGUUGUCCGGAAUUAUUGGGCGUAAGGAGCUCGUAGGUGGCCUGUCGCGUCGGCUGUGAAAACUCGGGGCUCAACUCCGAGCUUGCAGUCGAUACGGGCAGGCUAGAGUUCGGCAGGGGAGACUGGAAUUCCUGGUGUAGUGGUGAAAUGCGUAGAGAUCGGGAGGAACACCUGUGGCGAAGGCGGCCCCCUGGGCCGGCCCUGACACUGAGACGCGAAGGCGUGGGGAGCGAACGGG